AGAGUUUGAUCAUGGCUCAGAUUGAACGCUGGCGGCAGGCCUAACACAUGCAAGUCGAGCGGCAGCGGCUUAACUGAACCUUCGGGGAACGUUAAGGGCGGCGAGCGGCGGACGGGUGAGUAAUGCCUGGGAAUAUGCCCUGAUGUGGGGGAUAACUAUUGGAAACGAUAGCUAAUACCGCAUAAUCUCUUCGGAGCAAAGAGGGGGACCUUCGGGCCUCUCGCGUCAGGAUUAGCCCAGGUGGGAUUAGCUUGUUGGUGAGGUAAUGGCUCACCAAGGCAACGAUCCCUAGCUGGUCUGAGAGGAUGAUCAGCCACACUGGAACUGAGACACGGUCCAGACUCCUACGGGAGGCAGCAGUGGGGAAUAUUGCACAAUGGGGGAAACCCUGAUGCAGCCAUGCCGCGUGUGUGAAGAAGGCCUUCGGGUUGUAAAGCACUUUCAGUAGGGAGGAAGGUAGUGUAGUUAACACCUGCAUUAUUUGACGUUACCUACAGAAGAAGCACCGGCUAACUCCGUGCCAGCAGCCGCGGUAAUACGGAGGGUGCGAGCGUUAAUCGGAAUUACUGGGCGUAAAGCGCAUGCAGGCGGCCUGUUAAGUCAGAUGUGAAAGCCCAGGGCUUAACCUCGGAAUUGCAUUUGAAACUGGCAGGCUAGAGUCUUGUAGAGGGGGGUAGAAUUUCAGGUGU
Molecule: ribosomal RNA, 689 nt
Filed under: uncultured bacterium
Lineage: Bacteria
Description: bacterial SSU rRNA
Rfam family: Bacterial small subunit ribosomal RNA
Source: RNAcentral